UACAGAGGGGGCAAGCGUUGUUCGGAAUUACUGGGCGUAAAGGGCGCGUAGGCGGCCUUCUAAGUCGAACGUGAAAUCCCCGGGCUCAACCCGGGAACUGCGUCCGAUACUGGAAGGCUUGAAUCCGGGAGAGGGAUGUGGAAUUCCAGGUGUAGCGGUGAAAUGCGUAGAGAUCUGGAAGAACACCAAAGGCGAAGGCAGCAUCCUGGGAAGUGCCUGACGCUCAUGUGCGAAAGCUAGGGGAGCGAACGGG
Molecule: ribosomal RNA, 253 nt
Filed under: uncultured bacterium
Lineage: Bacteria
Description: partial 16S ribosomal RNA
Rfam family: Bacterial small subunit ribosomal RNA
Source: RNAcentral